AAGUCGUAACAAGGUUUCCGUAGGUGAACCUGCGGAAGGAUCAUUAUUUGAUCUAAAAUCGGAGGUAUUUGCAAAAAUAUCGCCUUUUUGCUUUGUGAACUGUUGUACUGUUGUAUUUUUUUUUUAAAAAGUUGUUGCUUUCUUCGGAAAGCAGAAAUUUAAAGACAACUUUCAGCAAUGGAUCUCUUGGCUCUU
RNAcentral lists this unclassified non-coding RNA (195 nucleotides) under fungal sp. RNAcentral's name for it is "partial internal transcribed spacer region". The stretch from base 1 to 46 matches the Rfam family "Eukaryotic small subunit ribosomal RNA", at positions 1786 to 1831 of the family's 1831-position model. The record is from RNAcentral. Lineage: Eukaryota; Fungi.